GACGAACGCUGGCGGCGUGCUUAACACAUGCAAGUCGAACGGAAAGGCCCUGCUUUUGUGGGGUGCUCGAGUGGCGAACGGGUGAGUAACACGUGAGUAACCUGCCCUUGACUUUGGGAUACUUCAGGAAACUGGGGCUAAUACCGGAUAGGAGCUCCUGCUGCAUGGUGGGGGUUGGAAAGUUUCGGCGGUUGGGGAUGGACUCGCGGCUUAUCAGCUUGUUGGUGGGGUAGUGGCUUACCAAGGCUUUGACGGGUAGCCGGCCUGAGAGGGUGACCGGCCACAUUGGGACUGAGAUACGGCCCAGACUCCUACGGGAGGCAGCAGUGGGGAAUAUUGCACAAUGGGCGGAAGCCUGUUGCAGCAACGCCGCGUGCGGGAUGACGGCCUUCGGGUUGUAAACCGCUUUCGCCUGUGACGAAGCGUGAGUGACGGUAAUGGGUAAAGAAGCACCGGCUAACUACGUG
This 467-nucleotide ribosomal RNA is filed under the name uncultured bacterium. RNAcentral describes it as "partial 16S ribosomal RNA". It matches the Rfam family "Bacterial small subunit ribosomal RNA", at positions 28 to 507 of the family's 1533-position model. The record is from RNAcentral.